This 507-nucleotide ribosomal RNA is filed under the name uncultured bacterium. RNAcentral describes it as "partial 16S ribosomal RNA". It matches the Rfam family "Bacterial small subunit ribosomal RNA", at positions 28 to 507 of the family's 1533-position model. The record is from RNAcentral.
GACGAACGCUGGCGGCGUGCCUAAUACAUGCAAGUCGAACGCAUUUUCUUUCACCGUAGCUUGCUACACCGAAAGAAAAUGAGUGGCGAACGGGUGAGUAACACGUGGGUAACCUGCCCAUCAGCGGGGGAUAACACUUGGAAACAGGUGCUAAUACCGCAUAAUUCCAUUUACCGCAUGGUAGAUGGGUGAAAGGCGCUUUUGCGUCACUGAUGGAUGGACCCGCGGUGCAUUAGCUAGUUGGUGGGGUAACGGCCUACCAAGGCUGCGAUGCAUAGCCGACCUGAGAGGGUGAUCGGCCACACUGGGACUGAGACACGGCCCAGACUCCUACGGGAGGCAGCAGUAGGGAAUCUUCGGCAAUGGACGCAAGUCUGACCGAGCAACGCCGCGUGAGUGAAGAAGGUUUUCGGAUCGUAAAACUCUGUUGUUAGAGAAGAACAAGGAUGAGAGUGGAAAGUUCAUCCCUUGACGGUAUCUAACCAGAAAGCCACGGCUAACUACGUG